Molecule: ribosomal RNA, 253 nt
Filed under: uncultured bacterium
Lineage: Bacteria
Description: partial 16S ribosomal RNA
Rfam family: Bacterial small subunit ribosomal RNA
Source: RNAcentral
UACGUAGGUCCCGAGCGUUGUCCGGAUUUACUGGGUGUAAAGGGCGUGCAGCCGGAGAGACAAGUCAGAUGUGAAAUCCACGGGCUCAACUCGUGAACUGCAUUUGAAACUGUUUCCCUUGAGUGUCGGAGAGGUAAUCGGAAUUCCUUGUGUAGCGGUGAAAUGCGUAGAUAUAAGGAAGAACACCAGUGGCGAAGGCGGAUUACUGGACGAUAACUGACGGUGAGGCGCGAAAGCGUGGGGAGCAAACAGG